GGGCUUCGGCCCAACCUCCCACCCCUUGUGUAUCUCUCUGGCUUGCCUCGGCGGUCGCCGGCUGUUCAGGCUGGCCCGCCAGAGGACCUCUAUCAACGCUGUAACAGUGGGUGGUCCGAGUGUACGCGUAACGCAUAAAACUUUCAACAACGGAUCUCUUGGCUCUGGCGUCGAUGAAGAACGCAGCGAAAUGCGAUAAGUAGUACGAAUUGCAGAAUUCAGCGAAUGAUCGAAUCUUUGAACGCACAUUGCGCCCUCUGGUAGUCCGGAGGGCACGCCUGUUCGAGCGUCAUUAACCCCCUCAAGCCUAGCUUGGUAUUGGGCCCCGUCCCUUCGAGGACGGGCCUUAAACUUCUGGGCGGCACUGCCUCUGCUCUAUGCAACGGGGAGUCUCUUCCAUGCGUAGAGCGGGCGGGGUGCCUGCCAUCUAUGGCUCUCGGGCCUCUCAGACUCUGACCUCGGAUCAGGCGGGAAUACCCGC
This 481-nucleotide ribosomal RNA is filed under the name Eurotiomycetes sp. MS494. RNAcentral's name for it is "eukaryotic LSU rRNA". The stretch from base 139 to 292 matches the Rfam family "5.8S ribosomal RNA". The record is from RNAcentral. Lineage: Eukaryota; Fungi; Ascomycota; Eurotiomycetes.